AUGAAAUACGGUUUCAAGUUGCUGAAACUUUGCAAGAUCAAGAAGAAGAAAAAGAUGCCUGAUCCAGUACCUUUGCUCAGGGACUUGUGGAUCCCAAGAGAUCAUGGGAUACCAGGACAAAUGGUGCAACCAAUUAUUCAGGCGAACAAUUUUGAAUUGAAGCCUGCUCUGAUUAACAUGGCACAACAGUCCAGAUUUGGUGGAACAGCUUUAGAAGAUCCACAUGAGCAUAUAAGGACUUUCUUGGAGUAUUGUAACACUCUCAAGCAAAAUGGAGUUUCACCGAGUGCUAUCAGAUUAUCACUAUUCCCAUUUUCCUUGAGAGAUGGAGCAAGAGUAUGGCUUAACUCAUUGCCUGAACAUCUGAAGGAUACUUGGGAGACCUUAUUGCAGACAUUUCUUGAGAGAUACUUUCCACCAACAAAAGCUGCUGAAUACAGGGACAAGUUAACAAGGUUUACUCAAUAUGAUGGAGAAAGUUUGUAUGACGCAUGGCAAAGAUUCAACUCUUUAAUCAGAAUGUGUCCUCGUCAUGGUUUAGAAAGAUGGCUGGUGUUACAAACCUUUUACAAAGGACUGUCCAUUCAGACCAGAGCUUUUGUCGAUUCUGCAGCUGGAGGAGGAAUCAUGAACAAAACCCUUGAUGAAGCAUUCGCAUUGAUUGAAAGUAUGGCGUCUCAUCAUUUCCAAUGGUCAAGUGAAAGAGCAAUAGCACCACCACAUCCUGGUGUGUACAAUGUGUCUGCAAAUGAUAGCAUGGCGGCUCAAAUUGACAUCUUGAACAAGAAGAUGGACAGUAUCAUGUCAAAUUGCAUCGGUACAUCUGUAGCUUCAGUAAGUGUGCCUCAAAUGUGUGAUGUAUGUGGCCAAGCAGGUCAUCCUUCAACAGAAUGCACCUUCUUAUUCAGCAAUUGGAUCAUCGGUUUCAGAAGUAAGUUAUGCCCAAAGUCAAGGUCCAUUCUCAAACAGUUACAAUCCUUCUUGGAGGAACCAUCCAAACUUGUCGUACAAGAACAAUCAGUCAUAUGCAAGUGGAUCGACAGUACAAGGAAAUCGACCACCAAAUCAUCCAAGUCAAUUUCAAGUGCCGAGGCAGAAUGA
RNAcentral lists this ribosomal RNA (1101 nucleotides) under Triticum aestivum (bread wheat). RNAcentral's name for it is "partial small subunit ribosomal RNA". The record is from RNAcentral. Lineage: Eukaryota; Viridiplantae; Streptophyta; Magnoliopsida; Poales; Poaceae.